CAAUAGCGUAUAUUAAAGUUGUUGCAGUUAAAAAGCUCGUAGUUGAACUUCAGACCUGGCCGGGCGGUCUGCCUAACGGUAUGUACUGUCUGGCUGGGUCUUACCUCUUGGUGAGCCGGCAUGCCCUUCACUGGGUGUGUCGGGGAACCAGGACUUUUACCUUGAGAAAAUUAGAGUGUUCAAAGCAGGCCUAUGCCCGAAUACAUUAGCAUGGAAUAAUAAAAUAGGACGUGCGGUUCUAUUUUGUUGGUUUCUAGAGUCGCCGUAAUGAUUAAUAGGGAUAGUUGGGGGCAUUAGUAUUCAGUUGCUAGAGGUGAAAUUCUUGGAUUUACUGAAGACUAACUACUGCGAAAGCAUUUGCCAAGGAUGUUUNCAUUAA
This 379-nucleotide ribosomal RNA is filed under the name uncultured eukaryote. RNAcentral describes it as "partial 18S ribosomal RNA". It matches the Rfam family "Eukaryotic small subunit ribosomal RNA", at positions 592 to 976 of the family's 1831-position model. The record is from RNAcentral.